UUCAGUAUAAGGUUACAAAAAUAGAGAACAAAGGCAGAUUUUUGAAAACAUGGAUAAAAUGGUCCAGAAGAAAUCAUAACAAUUUCAGAAGGCAGGAAACCAAGUAAAUUAGCAAGAUAAGGUAAGAUAAUGAUAAGGAAAAGACAAGGUAAGCAUCAGAAAGCAAAUCAGAAACUCUGAAUGAAAUGAAAUGGAAGCUUCCAUGUCCUCAGGCAGGAGCCUCAGGAGCUGAAGCCCCGGGCAGCUGUGUGUGUUCCCGGGCAGCUAUGUGUGUGUGUUCCCGGGCAGCUGUGUGUGUUCCCGGGCAGCUGUGUGUGUUCCCGGGCAGCUCUGUGUGUUCCUGGGCAGCUGUGUGUGUUCCUGGGCAGCUGUGUGUGUUUCCGGGCAGCUGUGCGUAUUCCCGGGCAGCUGUGCGUGUUCCCGGGCAGCUGUGUGUGUGUUCCCGGGCAGCUGUGUGUGUUCCCGGGCAGCUGUGUGUGUUCCCGGGCAGCUGUGUGUAUGUUCCCGGGCAGCUGUGUGUAUGUUCCCGGGCAGCUGUGUGUGUUCCCGGGCAGCUGUGUGUGUUCCCGGGCAGCUGUGCGUAUUCCCGGGCAGCUAUGUGUGUGUGUUCCUGGGCAGCUGUGUGUGUUCCUGGCCAGCUGUGUGUGUUCCUGGGCAGCUGUGUGUGUUCCUGGGCUGGGCUGGCUUGAGCAGGGGGAGGUUUGUGGUUCCGCAGAGCCUGGCUCCCUGCAUGCUCCGGGAGGACCUUCCUCGUGGCUUCCCCUGCCCCACCCUGAAAUAGUCCCGCCUGUUACUUUGUUUGGUUCCUGUCUGUGAUAUUGACUCUACCCCUUAGGAACCCCCACCCCCCCGCACUCCCUCACUAGAAUGUCAGCUCCAUGAAACCAGGGACCUAGUGUGUCCUAUUCACAACUGUGUCUCCAGGGCCAAAAAGAGAACCCUGCACGUAAUAGGUGCUCAGUAACAUUGUGUUGAAUCCCACUUGGUCUAUGUUUUCUGGCUUCAUGCUAGGAACUAAAAAAUGUAACUGCAUGCAUGUACUGGAGUGAGGAUUUAUGUUUCACAAAGAGCUGAAGACAAGCUUUGAUAGCACGCUUUAGGCUCUUAUCUGCAUAUCUGUGGGAACACAGCAGAAAGUACUAGAAUGUGGGCUCUGAACUUAGCCUCAG
RNAcentral lists this long non-coding RNA (1169 nucleotides) under Pan troglodytes (chimpanzee). RNAcentral describes it as "long non-coding RNA NONPTRT012920". Lineage: Eukaryota; Metazoa; Chordata; Mammalia; Primates; Hominidae. The record is from RNAcentral.